AAGAUGCCUAUCUUUUACUAUUUUCUCUCUGUCACUUUCGGUAAACCCGCCAAGGACGGACACGAUUUCAUGCUUCGGUUGUAAACAAAUUC
Molecule: non-coding RNA, 92 nt
Organism: Caenorhabditis elegans
Lineage: Eukaryota; Metazoa; Nematoda; Chromadorea; Rhabditida; Rhabditidae
Source: Ensembl